GAGUGGCGGACGGGUGAGUAACACGUAGGUAACCCCCUUAGAAGCGGGGGACAACAUUUGGAAACAGAUGCUAAUACCGCAUAACAGCGUUGUUCGCAUGAACAACGCUUAAAAGAUGGCUUCUCGCUAUCACUUCUGGAUGGACCUGCGGUGCAUUAGCUUGUUGGUGGGGUAACGGCCUACCAAGGCGAUGAUGCAUAGCCGAGUUGAGAGACUGAUCGGCCACAAUGGGACUGAGACACGGCCCAUACUCCUACGGGAGGCAGCAGUAGGGAAUCUUCCACAAUGGGCGCAAGCCUGAUGGAGCAACACCGCGUGAGUGAAGAAGGGUUUCGGCUCGUAAAGCUCUGUUGUUAAAGAAGAACACGUAUGAGAGUAACUGUUCAUACGUUGACGGUAUUUAACCAGAAAGUCACGGCUAACUACGUGCCAGCAGCCGCGGUAAUACGUAGGUGGCAAGCGUUAUCCGGAUUUAUUGGGCGUAAAGAGAGUGCAGGCGGUUUUCUAAGUCUGAUGUGAAAGCCUUCGGCUUAACCGGAGAAGUGCAUCGGAAACUGGAUAACUUGAGUGCAGAAGAG
This 578-nucleotide ribosomal RNA is filed under the name uncultured bacterium. RNAcentral's name for it is "bacterial SSU rRNA". It matches the Rfam family "Bacterial small subunit ribosomal RNA", at positions 93 to 656 of the family's 1533-position model. The record is from RNAcentral.